Molecule: non-coding RNA, 4982 nt
Organism: Rattus norvegicus (Norway rat)
Lineage: Eukaryota; Metazoa; Chordata; Mammalia; Rodentia; Muridae
Source: RefSeq, a predicted model, not a curated record
GAGUUCACUUUGUCUUUGGAGGAGGAGGGACUUCCGUUUGAUUCAUCUUGAUGUAUGUUUCCAACUCUGUGGUACUGGCUUGACAGUGCUUCCCACCCUGUGCUAUGCAGAAGUGGGUCCACAUAUCUAGGUAAUGCUGUGGGUACCCACACACUUGGGGUUCCCAGGUAGGUUCUUUGUGGAACCUCCAUUCCAAGGAAACUGUUAUUCAGAAGCUGAGCCCAAACUAUUGAGGCACAUAAAACCUGUAGCAUGAAGACAUCUCAGGGUGAAUAAAUAUACUCCCUGAAACCAUUUUCUUUGUCCCACAAUCCCGCCUCAAGACAGGGUUUCUCCGUGUUGCCUUAGCCAUCCUGGAACUUGCUCUGUAGACCUGACUGCCCUCAAACUCAGGAUUUGCCUGCCUCUGCCUCCCAAAUGUUGAGUUUGAAAGGCAUGCGCCAUCACUGCCCGGCUUAUACUCCCUGAAUCAUGAAAGCCCUUGACGGACAUCCAGAGCCCCUGAUAUGAAAAAUGGAGUCACCACUGUGAAUGUGCCUGAUUCGAAAGUGCUGAAGUUGUGUCAAAGUCACACAUACUUUCAUCCCCCAACUCUGGCAGACGGAACACAGGAAUAGUUGAGUCCUGGGGGGAUCCUUUUUCUCUCCCUCCCUCCCCCAUCCCAUCUCCAUAUCUCUUUCUUUCCAUGCCCCUUCCUUCUUUUCCAGGCUGGGGCAUCCGGGCUUGGUUGUUCACGUGGCUGAAAUCAACUGGCUAAUUAUCAGCUCUCCUCUCUGCUUGGUAGGAAUAAGCCGCAUCUUACCUGAGCCAGAUGAUCAUUCAUGCACAAUAAUAAGAAAUACAGAGAGCCACGGAAGCAUCCAGGAGACAAACAGGUUAUAUAAUUGCCUAUUAGAGACUCUGAUUUGAAAUCAUUUCCGGAAGGUUCUGCACUCUUUCUCUUCGCACCCAGCUGCCCACCACCAAACAUCCUUCUCUGCAUUUAAGAGUGGUGACUUUCUAAAACAUGGCGGCUAGGGAGCUCCCGAGGAGCCUUGACUGCCUCCUCCUGAAAGGAAAGAAGGGACGGUGCAUGGACGAGAUGUUCUGGGGAACUUCAAAUGGGCCACAAAGAGAUUCUCUUGGCUUGGAAACAUUUGGAUCACCAGCCUCUCCCUGGAACACAAUCGUGUUCAGACCAAAUUGAAGAAGAACGCUGAGCUGGGACGGGGUGAGUGGAAUGCUUGACUUCACCUCCUACAGGAUGGGACACACUCACGUUGGGGAAAUUAGUGCUGACUCCUGGAACAGAUUUAUCUUCUGGCCCUCAAAAUGCUUCCAAGAAAUGGCAGGCCAAGGAGCUCAAAUGUCUGUGUCGAACAAGGAUCUCCAAUUUCCUGGCUUUAUUUUCAGAGGUCCAGCUAAGCCUUCUGUCGUCCCCGGUAUCCUGGUUGAUCGAGUGAAUUAGCUCUGUUUAUGAGUGUACUGUGAUUACAAGGAACUGUGGAGACACAGAGUCCCCAGGGAGCGUCCACCCAAAUCGAGCUCUUCCUUACUCGGUCACUCACUGACCUACUCAGCCGUUGACCCACAACACACUCUUGUUUACAGAUGCGGCAUGCUGGGCACAGACACAUGGACCAGGAAAUCCCUGCCCCAUGCUCAAAGCUGAGAGAGUCUUUCCAGAUGGCCCUGGCUAGAAGAACAAGACGGGGUGCUGUUUGACAGAAAGCAGGCACAAGCAGAAGACGCCAAGACCAGCAGCUCCAGAGAGGACGUGGCACUGCUGCAACCACCCCUGUGCUACCAAGGUGUCUCUUUGAUGACCCAUCUCUGCCAGGCUCUGGGAGAUUGGGCCCUGUGGUAAUCGUCUUAUGAGGUUCACUGUAUACGAAGAGGGACACCUGUCCCUGAGAGAAGCACAUAUACUAAAAUGUGACAAGGCUAGAAUGAGCAAAAGGGGUUAGGUCAGGCCCACUGGGCUGGGAGACUUGGUUGGUUCAAGAUGAUCAAGGAAGGUAGGCUCAGAAGAGUAAGGGUUAAUCUGAGCCCCACGGACAGAGCAGGGGACAGGAGGGAGAGCAUGACCCACCUAGGGGACACAAAAUUAAACACUGAGCAGAAACAGAGAGUGGUACACUAGUGGGAAAGAAGAAGACGAGAGGGGGCAUAGGAGGAAGAAGAGGAGGAGGAGAAGGGGAAAUGAGUCAGGAGAAGAGAAAGGAACUUUCCAGGCAGCAACUGUGUAGGUCUCACAGGCUUAGAGCAGGCUGCUCUCACAGACUGCAGGAGCAGGACCAAGUGCUGAGUUCUGGCUGGACAAAGAAUCAUCCAGCGCUAGGACUGGAUCCACCCAGAAGGCUGGGAUGGAAGUUUGGGCUGUGGGUGUCAUUCUGCACAGGCACCAGAUGAGUAUAGAUGUGUACCCUGUUCUUAUCACCAUGUAGCACCACUACUGUAGAUGGUCGUUGAUCCCCUCCCUUGCCAGACUCAGGACAAACUUGUCUUUUGUGGUCACAUUUGCAACAACUGAAGACUGAGAGUUCUGGGCACUGUUAAUCAGUCAGUCAGUCUAGCAGUGGCGUUUGUCAUGGUCAUUUUGCUGCGAUGGGCUGUCACUGGGGGUUAUGUCACAACACCUCCAGCUUUUACCUACUAGAUAUCAGGAACAAUCCUACCCACUGCUCACUGUAACAACUCAAAACGCCUCUGAGUGUUUCACAAUCACCGUAGUUGUGAACCAUUGGGUUGAUAUUCCUAAAUGUUUGUCUUAGUUAGGGUUCUGUUGCUGUGAAUAGACUCCAUGACUGUGGCAACUCUUAGAAAGGAAAACAUUCAAUGGGGCUGGUUUAAAGCUUCAAAGGUUUAGUCCAUUAUUGUCAUGCUGAGAAGCAUGGUGCUAUGCAGGCAGAUGUGGCGCUGAGAGUUCCACAUCCGGAUCAGCAGGCAGCUAAAAGAAAGAGUGACACUGGUCCUGGCUUGGGCUUCUGAAACCUCAAAGACCACACCCUGUGACACACUUCCUCUAACAAGGCCACACCUACUCCAACAAGGCCACACCUACUCCAACAAGGCCACACCUACUCCAACAAGGCCACACCUACUCCAACAAGGCCUUACCUCCAAAUAUUACUACUCCAUGAGCCUAUGGAAACCAUUUUCAUUCAAACCACGAUGCUCAACUGUGUUUGACAGGUCCCCUACCCCCACAAAAGCAGGAGGAAGCUGAUUAUAUAGUAGGGGUUUCCAAGCUCACCCAGGAGAGAACAUAGUCUUAACAUCAGUGGCUGUACACGAAGUCUGAGGCAGUCGUUGGUGGGGGCAGGUGGGAGGCACGUGCCCAUCCAAGUCACUGCCAGCCAGGAGGAAUAGGGACCACUAAUGCACCCUCCCUUCUCUGACCCUCUCUCAGCAGUUACAAGAGGGUCCACGAAGAAAAGCUUCUGUGGGUUAGUGAACAGAUACAGGGAAGUCUUUGCCUCAUGGAAGCACGCUGGACAAAGCCCUUUGGAAGCGUGGAACACCUACCACGUUGAAAAGCUUUCAGUGGCCAUUUUACCUUCUCAAGCCCAGGGAUGCUGGUCAUGAGCAUCUUGAAGACCAGACAUGGUUUAUGUUAAGUGAGCACAACUGGCUAGACACCAGGUGAUUUAGAAAACCUUUAUCCUGAGGGGGUUACACUCUGCCCCCUAAGAUCCCAACAUGCUCAGUUUAUUUCAGUUGGGGCUUGUUCAGUUAGCACGUUUUGCUAACAACGCUCUUUAUUUUAUUUCUUAUUUUUGCGUGCGUUGGGUGUGUGAGUGUGUGUGUUAUGAGUGUGUGUGUUAUGGGUGUGAGUGUGUGUGAAGUGUGUUUAUCUCUCCACACACGCAUGUAUAUGUACACAGAGGCCAAGGGAGCAUGUACAAUGUCUUCCUUUAUUGCUCUUCCCCUUUUCCUGUGAAGGCUGGGUGCAGAUCGUUUACACAGUUUGGGAGCUGUUGUAAGGCAGGCAGAGGACGGUGGUGCCCAUGGCUGUCUUGUCUAUCUUCUAGGCCCCCCUCUUCUUCUCCUCCGCUUCCUUCUCCCUUCUGUGCAUAAAUGUGAGGAGAAAACGGUUUUCCCUUCAGUCCUGUAUCCCCUGCCUGACCCUGUAUGGCCUUCAACAUUGCUGGCUCGGCUGAAUCUGUAAAGGGACCCCGACCUUGGCCUCCUCUGCACAUUACAGUGUAAAACACACACCCUAAGCCCAGUUUUCCCACUCAUUGCCUUCUUCCCUUCCUUAAAAAUGAGGAAAAGGGUCCUUCUUGGCUCAUAAAAAAAAUAUGGCUCAAAACCCCAGAACAUCUGUCCAGAGCUCAUUUCUGAAUAGGAUCUUUUCCAAGGGCUUGCUGGCUGCCAGAUACCUCCAAGGGAGCCCAGAGGCCCAAGGACCCUGCAGCAGGGCCUGAAGGAACCGGAAAUGCCUUACAGACAUGCGUUUUCCUGGACACAAGAGAGAUCAGCUGAAAUUUAGGGUCACGAAGUCUCCAAAUGAUGUAAGGGUAUUAUCAUGCAGCCCCAGGCCCUGUUGGGGACACUGGGACCCCAUGCAAGUGUCCUGCUUCUAUAAGGCCCUACAGCAUAGGGACAGAAUGUCCACUCCACACAGUAGAGGAUGUCAGAGGAAAGAUAUGUAGCCCGUAGAGCAGAGGGCAGGGCUUUGAUACGUGGUGAUACUCUCUGACACAUUGUAACAGACUGGAGAUACAGUGAUAAGCAACAGAGGUCUUGCUCUUUGCUCCAGCUACGAGGUUUGAAAAGACUUCCUCUGGGGGAAGGGGGACCAGCCAAGGAACUCUGGAAGAAGAUUCUCUGUACAUGGAAACUUCUAGGCUCUGCGGAGGGACGACAUCUCAUUUGUGAGGCAAUAGCACCCUCUGGGGCCAGACAGAAGCAUUGCCUCUGGAACAUUCUCUGGGUCUUCAGAGCUCCUAAAUGUAAUAUAAAUCUAAUACAAAUAAAAUAAUAUUAAAUAUAAUAAA